CAGUGGGUGAGGUUGGAGGACCAGCAUGGGAGGCCAUACUUCUACAACCCAGAUGACUCCUCUGUUCGGUGGGAGCUGCCCCAGGUUCCUGUCCCUGCCCCUCGAAGCAUCCGCAAAUCCAGCCAGGACAGUGACACCCAAGCCCAGGCCAGCCCCCCAGAGGAGAAUAUCAAGACCCUGGACAAGGCAGGUGUGCUCCAUCGCAC
Molecule: long non-coding RNA, 206 nt
Organism: Galeopterus variegatus (Sunda flying lemur)
Lineage: Eukaryota; Metazoa; Chordata; Mammalia; Dermoptera; Cynocephalidae
Exons: 3
Source: RefSeq, a predicted model, not a curated record